Molecule: ribosomal RNA, 468 nt
Filed under: uncultured bacterium
Lineage: Bacteria
Description: partial 16S ribosomal RNA
Rfam family: Bacterial small subunit ribosomal RNA
Source: RNAcentral
AUGAACGCUGGCGGCGUGCUUAACACAUGCAAGUCGAACGGUGAACACGGAGCUUGCCCUGUGGGAUCAGUGGCGAACGGGCGAGUAACACGUGAGCAACCUGCCCCUGACUCUGGGAUAAGCGCUGGAAACGGCGUCUAAUACUGGAUAUGUGACGUGACCGCAUGGUCUGCGUUUGGAAAGAUUUUUCGGUUGGGGAUGGGCUCGCGGCCUAUCAGCUUGUUGGUGAGGUAAUGGCUCACCAAGGCGUCGACGGGUAGCCGGCCUGAGAGGGUGACCGGCCACACUGGGAUUGAGACACGGCCCAGACUCCUACGGGAGGCAGCAGUGGGGAAUAUUGCACAAUGGGCGAAAGCCUGAUGCAGCAACGCCGCGUGAGGGAUGACGGCCUUCGGGUUGUAAACCUUUUUUAGCAGGGAAGAAGCGAAAGUGACGGUACCUGCAGAAAAAGCGCCGGCUAACUACGUG